UCCUACGGGAGGCAGCAGUGGGGAAUUUUCCGCAAUGGGCGAAAGCCUGACGGAGCAAUACAGCGUGAGGGAAGACUGCCUAUGGGUUGUAAACCUCUUUUUUCAGGGAGGAAUAAAUGACGUGUACCUGAAGAAUAAGCAUCGGCUAACUCCGUGCCAGCAGCCGCGGUAAGACGGAGGAUGCAAGUGUUAUCCGGAAUCACUGGGCGUAAAGCGUCUGUAGGUGGUUUAAUAAGUCAACUGUUAAAUCUUGAGGCUCAACUUCAAAAUCGCAGUCGAAACUAUUAGACUAGAGUAUAGUAGAGGUAAAGGGAAUUUCCAGUGGAGCGGUGAAAUGCGUAGAUAUUGGAAAGAACACCGAUGGCGAAAGCACUUUACUGGGCUAUUACUAACACUCAGAGACGAAAGCUAGGGUAGCAAAUGGGAUUAGAUACCCCAGUAGUCCUAGCCGUAAACUAUGGAUACUAGAUGUUGAACAGAUCGACCUGUGCAGUAUCAAAGCUAACGCGUUAAGUAUCCCGCCUGGGAAGUAUGCUCGCAAGAGUGAAACUCAAAGGAAUUGACGGA
This 567-nucleotide ribosomal RNA is filed under the name uncultured bacterium. RNAcentral's name for it is "bacterial SSU rRNA". It matches the Rfam family "Bacterial small subunit ribosomal RNA", at positions 337 to 917 of the family's 1533-position model. The record is from RNAcentral.